CACAUUACCUCACGCAGACUCACUGAAAAUGUCAACAACUGUUCAGCCUUUUAUGUUCAAAACGGAGUCGGACAAUGAUGGAGAGACUCAAGAAGAAGUGACAACAUUUUGAAUGCAACAGGACGUUUCUGAAUGGACACUGAAGCCUUUGUUCUGAGCAGCAAAGUGUCUGACUUAUGGGAUGGAACUGCUAUCAGAUAAGGGUUGCUGCUGCUGCCGUCUCCUCCGUCACUCAAGGCUUUGAUCUGAACGAGCAGGUCCUCUUCUGAUGGCAACUGAAGCUCCACGGACGUCCUGUUGGUCUCCACUACACCGCUUCCUCUGUGCCAGUUU
Long non-coding RNA from Ctenopharyngodon idella (grass carp), 333 nucleotides. RefSeq lists it as uncharacterized. Lineage: Eukaryota; Metazoa; Chordata; Actinopteri; Cypriniformes; Xenocyprididae. The transcript is spliced from 3 exons. The record is from RefSeq and is a predicted model, not a curated record.